GAUAGUUCCCUAGCAAAUGUUAUGAGUAAUUAGAAUUUUGUGGGUAAACCAAUUUUGUAGGGUGAUGUUUAUUAGAGGGUAUCGAAUAAAUAAAGACAGCGAUAGGAGGAGUACUGAGAAGGAAAGGUGAGAUAGCGUGAUAUUAAUAAAAGUAGACCUAGUGUUGUACCUUUUGUAUCAGGGUUCAUCAAUUAAAUUAGAGGAUUCUUACAUCUCGAUACAAAGAGAGCUAUAAGAGUAAAUCAGUUAUUGUGGCAACACUAUUGACCAUACUUUUAUAGGAAUGAAACAUUAGCCGAUCUUUGUGGUAUCUAGUUUCUUAAGAAAUGGAUUUAAUCCAGGGGUUGUAGAGCGUAAGGAAUUAUUACUUACCCUUAAAUAACCACUAAAAUGAAGGGGGAUAAGCUCCUUCAUGAUCUAUACGACUUAAUUUUUGGAGAAUAGGUAAGCUUGAAAGUAGCCAUCCUUUAAAAAAUGUUACAGUUUAUUCUCUUGGGAUUGAAUUUUAAGAGGUUUAGAGAAAUAUUAAGAAAAUACUUUUAACUGGAAAGUAAGAUAUAAUGAUGGAAUAAGUAAUAGUUUUAGGAAAAUGAAUUCCCAAUAAGGAACUCGGCAAAUUUAAUGCUCGCCUGUUUAUCAAAAACACCGCCUCUCGAAGUUUAUGGAAGGUCUAGCCUGCCCACUGAAGGAUAUAAAGGGCCGCGGUAUUUUGACCGUGCAAAGGUAGCAUAAUCAUUAGUCUUCUAAUUAAAGGCUGGAAUGAAUGGCUGGACGAGGUAUUAGCUGUCUCUUAGGGAUAAAUUUGAAUUUAACCUUCUAGUGAAAAGGCUGGAAUAAAAUUGGAGGACGAGAAGACCCUAUAGAGCUUUACACUUUCCUAGAUCUUAAUUCGUUUAGUAGGAGUUAAUUUUUGUGUGGGGAGUGUUUCGUUGGGGUGACGAGAAGAUAGAAGAAACUCUUCUUUAAAUAAACCACUAAUGAGUGAUUUAAUUGAUCCAUUUUUAAUGAUUAAAAGACUAAGUUACCUUAGGGAUAACAGCGUAAUCUUUUUUGAGAGUUCUAAUCGACAAAAAGGGUUGCGACCUCGAUGUUGGACUAAGGAUUAUUCUUGGGUGCAGAAGUUCAAGGUUUAGGUCUGUUCGACCUUUGAAUCCUUACAUGAUCUGAGUUCAGACCGGCGUAAGCCAGGUCGGUUUCUAUCCUCAAUUGUGAGAAAUAUUUUAGUACGAAAGGACCAAAUAUUAGAGAUAAUCUCGAGAUGAGAAUACUAUU
RNAcentral lists this ribosomal RNA (1272 nucleotides) under Maccaffertium vicarium. Its description in RNAcentral is "16S ribosomal RNA". It matches the Rfam family "Bacterial large subunit ribosomal RNA", at positions 558 to 2774 of the family's 2925-position model. The record is from RNAcentral. Lineage: Eukaryota; Metazoa; Arthropoda; Insecta; Ephemeroptera; Heptageniidae.